This 254-nucleotide ribosomal RNA is filed under the name uncultured bacterium. Its description in RNAcentral is "partial 16S ribosomal RNA". It matches the Rfam family "Bacterial small subunit ribosomal RNA", at positions 524 to 776 of the family's 1533-position model. The record is from RNAcentral.
GACGUAGGGGGCGAGCGUUGUCCGGAUUUACUGGGCGUAAAGGGCGCGUAGGCGGCCCAUCUUGUCGGGCGGGAAAGGCGCACGCUCACCGUGCGCACGCUGCUCGAGACGGGUGGGCUUCGAGGGCCGGAGAGGGAGGCGGAAGGCCGGGUGGAGUGGUGAAAUGCGUAGAGAUCCGGCGGAACACCGGUGGCGAAGGCGGCCUCCUGGACGGCUCCUGACGCUGAGGCGCGAAAGCGUGGGGAGCGAACUGA